This 578-nucleotide unclassified non-coding RNA is filed under the name Hevea brasiliensis (rubber tree). Lineage: Eukaryota; Viridiplantae; Streptophyta; Magnoliopsida; Malpighiales; Euphorbiaceae. The record is from RNAcentral.
UUUGACUCUUUAACUGUAGAUACUGGUAUCGUGGAGGCUGUAUAUACAGUACUUAGAGAAGCAGAAGAUCGUAGUGUUGCACCAAUUCCAGUUUGGGAGUUGCCUAUCUGGAAAGAUAUCUCUCCGAAGCUAAAAAAGGUUAAUGCAGCUCUCAAGUUGAUCAAUGACACAUUGGAUGAUCUGAUUGCUAUAUGUAAGAGGAUGGUAGACGAAGAAGAGUUGCAGUUUCACGAGGAAUACAUGAAUGAAAAAGAUCCUAGCAUCCUCCAUUUCUUGUUAGCAUCUGGAGAUGAGGUCUCAAGCAAGCAACUUCGUGAUGACCUCAUGACAAUGCUUAUAGCGGGACAUGAAACAUCUGCAGCAGUGCUCACAUGGACCUUUUAUCUGUUGUCCAAGGAACCUAGUGUCAUGGCCAAGCUUCAAGAUGAGGUCGAUUCAGUUCUAGGGGAUAGGUUACCAACCAUUGAAGAUCUAAAGAAACUCAGAUACACAACUCGUGUGAUUAAUGAGUCUUUAAGACUAUAUCCACAGCCACCAGUCUUGAUUCGUCGUUCUAUUGAAGAGGACGUAGUUGGAGG